This 497-nucleotide ribosomal RNA is filed under the name uncultured bacterium. Its description in RNAcentral is "partial 16S ribosomal RNA". It matches the Rfam family "Bacterial small subunit ribosomal RNA", at positions 28 to 507 of the family's 1533-position model. The record is from RNAcentral.
GAUGAACGCUGGCGGCGUGCUUAAUACAUGCAAGUCGAGCGAACAGACGAGGAGCUUUCUCCUCUUACGUUAGCGGCGGACGGGGGAGUAACACGUGGAAUACCUACCUACUUCACUGGGAUAACUCCGGUAGACCGGACUUCUUACCGGAUAAUAUAUUUAAUCUCAUGGUUCAAUAGUGAAAAACGGUUUUGCUGUCACUUAUACAUGCAUUCGCGCCGGAUUAGCUAUUUGGUAAGGUAACGGCUUGCCAAGGCAACGAUGCGUACCCGACCUGAGAGAGGGAUCGGCCAAACGGGAACUGAAACACGGUCCGGACUCCUACGGGAGGCGGCAGUAGGAAAUCUUCCGCAAUGGGCGAAAGCUUGACGGAGCAACGCCGCGUGGGUGAUACAGGUCUUCGGUUCGAAAGACUCUUUUAUCGGGGAAAAACGACUGCUUGAGAAUAGAUGCACGGAUUGACGGUACCUGAACAGAAAGCCACGGCUAACUACGUG